CCCCCCUCCGGCCCGCGGCCACCUCCCCUGGCGGGGGAGGAAAGCAUCGGCCUGCGACCCGGGGUUCGUGGCUCGAAGGGGGGGCC
RNAcentral lists this transfer RNA (86 nucleotides) under Oceanithermus desulfurans NBRC 100063. RNAcentral describes it as "tRNA-Ala". The record is from RNAcentral. Lineage: Bacteria; Thermotogati; Deinococcota; Deinococci; Thermales; Thermaceae.